UAGAUACCNUGGUAGUCCACGCCGUAAACGAUGAGUGNUAGGUGUUAGGCCCUUUCCGGGGCUUAGUGCCGCAGCUAACGCAUUAAGCACUCCGCCUGGGGAGUACGACCGCAAGGUUGAAANUCAAAGGAAUUGACGGGGGCCCGCACAAGCGGUGGAGCAUGUGGUUUAAUUCGAAGCAACGCGAAGAACCUUACCAGGUCUUGACAUCCCUCUGAUCGCUCUAGAGAUAGAGUUUUCCUUCGGGACAGAGGUGACAGGUGGUGCAUGGUUGUCGUCAGCUCGUGUCGUGAGAUGUUGGGUUANNNNNNNNNNNNGAGCGCAACCCCUAUUGUUAGUUGCCAUCAUUCAGUUAGGCACUCUAGCGAGACUGCCGGUAAUAAACCGGAGGAAGGUGGGGAUGACGUCAAAUCAUCAUGCCCCUUAUGACCUGGGCUACACACGUGCUACAAUGGCUGGUACAACGAGUCGCAAGCCGGUGACGGCAAGCUAAUCUCUGAAAGCCAGUCUCAGUUCGGAUUGUAGGCUGCAGCUCGCNUAAAUGAAGUCGGAAUCGCUAGUAAUCGCGGAUCAGCACGCCGCGGUGAAUACGUUCCCGGGCCU
Molecule: ribosomal RNA, 603 nt
Filed under: uncultured bacterium
Lineage: Bacteria
Description: partial 16S ribosomal RNA
Rfam family: Bacterial small subunit ribosomal RNA
Source: RNAcentral